This 237-nucleotide microRNA precursor is filed under the name Cajanus cajan (pigeon pea). Its description in RNAcentral is "miRNA gene-KK1_033311". Lineage: Eukaryota; Viridiplantae; Streptophyta; Magnoliopsida; Fabales; Fabaceae. The record is from RNAcentral.
UAAAUCCAACCGUUAGAUUGAAAGUUCAUAUCUCUUAGAUCAUAUAUAUCAAAUUUUAUAUUAAUCUAAGAUGAUUUGAUACUUCAUUCUCAUAAAACAAAAUUGACGUAAUAUAUACAUUUCAAAAUAUACUAAAAUAUGAACGCUUUGAUUACCUUCAAGUUGUUGUUCAAUUUUAACAAAAUUUGAUAUAUAUGAUCUAAGAGAUAUGAACUUUCAAUCUAACGGUUGGAUUUU